GUGCCAGCAGCCGCGGUAAAACGUAGGAUCCGAGCGUUAUCCGAAUUCACUGGGCGUAAAGCGCGUGCAGGCGGCUCUGUAAGUUGGAUGUAAAAUCUCCCGGCUCAACUGGGAGGGGACGUUCAAUACUGCGGGGCUUGAGGACGGUAGAGGGAGGUGGAAUUCCCGGUGUAGUGGUGAAAUGCGUAGAUAUCGGGAGGAACACCAGUGGCGAAGGCGGCCUCCUGGACCGUACCUGACGCUCAGACGCGAAAGCUAGGGGAGCGAACGGGAUUAGAUACCCCCGUAGUCC
This 292-nucleotide ribosomal RNA is filed under the name uncultured bacterium. RNAcentral describes it as "partial 16S ribosomal RNA". It matches the Rfam family "Bacterial small subunit ribosomal RNA", at positions 505 to 796 of the family's 1533-position model. The record is from RNAcentral.